Molecule: ribosomal RNA, 255 nt
Filed under: uncultured bacterium
Lineage: Bacteria
Description: partial 16S ribosomal RNA
Rfam family: Bacterial small subunit ribosomal RNA
Source: RNAcentral
UACGGAGGGUGCGAGCGUUGUCCGGAUUUAUUGGGUUUAAAGGGUGCGUAGGUGGCUUUUUAAGUCAGUGGUGAAAUACAGCCGCUCAACGGUUGAGGUGCCAUUGAUACUGAAGAGCUUGAAACAAAGGAUGGAGCUGCCGGAAUGGAUGGUGUAGCGGUGAAAUGCAUAGAUAUCAUCCAGAACACCGAUUGCGAAGGCAGGUGGCUACGUUUGAUUUGACACUGAGGCACGAAAGCAUGGGGAGCAAACAGG